Molecule: long non-coding RNA, 962 nt
Filed under: Penaeus monodon (black tiger shrimp)
Lineage: Eukaryota; Metazoa; Arthropoda; Malacostraca; Decapoda; Penaeidae
Description: uncharacterized LOC119576572
Source: RNAcentral
GAAUGAGUUGUGUGUAAUUGAUCUAACCAUCGAGAGCUAAUUAAUACUAACUAUGUCUGAGAUACUUACUUAUAUUACACGAAUGGAAGCCACCUCAGACUGUUAUAAAAAAAAAACUACAUUAGACGUAUAGUGAAAAAGGAUAGUGUGACGCGCGAAUUGUGCAAAUUUGAUGUGAGGGUUCAUGAAUAACCCCAGUGAACCCACGAACAAGAGAGGAAUGAGAACAAGAGCCAAGAACGAAUGAAAUAAUUUGUGAUAUAAGUAAUGAUGAAAAAUAAAUGAACAUGCGAAAUUAGAUGUAAAGAAAAUAAGAUGCGGAUGGAAAAAAAAGAAAGAAAAAAGAAAAAGUGGCAACUCGCAUGUAUGCGAACGCCCCCCACCAGGUGAGUGGCGAUACUCUUGGCUUGACGAGCAAACCGCUCACCUGUGAGGGACUGCCUGUAGAAACCCUCGCCUUCGUCGUUGUGCUUCGUAAUUAAAAACCUCGGGACCUUGGGCGCUGCUCGACGUCGCCACCGUCGCCCGCAGCACCGGCAACAAGACCCGGGGUUUUUCGCCCUAGCUUGGCGAACACCGAGGCACGGCAACAGAUCACAGCCUUUCGACAAGGGUGGGGACCCCCCUGUCGUCCCCCGAGGAGUCGUGUGCUCCACCGGCUUCGGCAUACGGACAAAGCGUUAGUAGAAAAACGGAGUGUAUGCGAAGCCCCCUUUGGAAUAGUACCCGUAUGAGACAUUUGCAGCGUUCGGGCUCUUAUCUGUUUAAGUUUCUUUAUUUCGAGUGGAUGGUAAUUAUAUCGUAUUUGUGUCUGGUGUGUAUGCGUGUUGGGGGCGCCUCGUGUAUUAUCUACGUGCCAAUACCGCAGCGUGCUGAAUUUUUAUAUAGUUUAUAGGUUGUAUAGUUUUGAUUUAUAAAGUUAUCAAUUAUAUGUUACCUAUGAUUAAUGAAUUAGAAAUAUC